AGGGCCCUGGGCUGGAACCCAGAGUAGAGGGCGGACCUGGGUUCCCCCUAAACCUCCCAACUCCUGAUCAAACAGAGGAGGAAUUGAUCUGGACUGAAGGAAAGGUCUCUGGCCUCUACCAGAGGGGGAGG
Molecule: non-coding RNA, 131 nt
Organism: Chelonoidis abingdonii (Abingdon island giant tortoise)
Lineage: Eukaryota; Metazoa; Chordata; Testudines; Testudinidae
Source: RefSeq, a predicted model, not a curated record